This 253-nucleotide ribosomal RNA is filed under the name uncultured bacterium. RNAcentral describes it as "partial 16S ribosomal RNA". It matches the Rfam family "Bacterial small subunit ribosomal RNA", at positions 524 to 776 of the family's 1533-position model. The record is from RNAcentral.
UACGGAGGGUGCAAGCGUUAUCCGGAUUUACUGGGUUUAAAGGGUGCGCAGGCGGAUAUGUAAGUCAGUGGUGAAAUCUCUAGGCUUAACCUGGAAAUUGCCGUUGAUACUAUAUAUCUUGAAUGCUGUGGAGGUAAGCGGAAUAUGUCAUGUAGCGGUGAAAUGCUUAGAUAUGACAUAGAACACCUAUUGCGAAGGCAGCUUACUACGCAGAUAUUGACGCUCAUGCACGAAAGCGUGGGGAGCGAACAGG